Long non-coding RNA from Apodemus sylvaticus (European woodmouse), 2729 nucleotides. RefSeq lists it as uncharacterized. Lineage: Eukaryota; Metazoa; Chordata; Mammalia; Rodentia; Muridae. The record is from RefSeq and is a predicted model, not a curated record. The transcript is spliced from 3 exons.
AGCAUACUUUGUGACUGAGAAUAGUAUAAAAUUCAAGGUUGAGAGUCACUGAGUGUCAUUUGAACAUGGCCACACCCACUCAUUUACAGUUGUCAUCCUAGGGACAUUUGGGUACAGUCAUGGCAAAGUGGAAGAAGGGGCCUUUCUGUGCCCAAGUGGGUCUGGGAGACUGCUAUGAGGCAGGCCCUGGUGGUGGCACUAAGGCCGGACAGUGAUACCAUGUGCGACCUAGAGCUGGAGAACUGUACCAGGCAGUCCUGGAAAGUACCAGAAAGGGACUGCUUGCAUUGCUGAGGAGCCUGAAGUAGAGGUGGGGCUGAGGGGUAAUUGGGAGGAGCCUCCUGGGAGCCCCUUGCAGCUGUUUUCAUCCUCAUUGCUAAGAGUUCACCCUAAGUGUGCUCUCACUCCCAACUGCCCCCUCUAUUCUAGCUGGAGUCACAAUAUAUCUGUGUGUAUGUGGCCCACGCCAGGCAGAACGGCCCCUGGCAUAACUACUGCUCUCUUGCUGGCCCACAUUUGUUUCUAAAUAUAGACGCAGACUACCCCGUGGCUGCUGGUAAGUCCCAGGAUACCAUCUGAUACCCAGUGUGACCUGUGACCCUAGCCAUUGCCAGCUGCUGGAGACAGGGGAUGGGGGCAUAUUUGGCCAGACCCUUCCUGCCUCCUGCUACUGAGAACAGAGACUAGCAGGCUCCUGAUAAUGGCAUGGCUUAAUUGUCACAGGCUGGGAUGACCUCAGCUUGCAAGUGGCCCUGCUUUCUCAUUAUUACCAGAAAGGAUAAUUUAAUGUCACUCACUGGAAAACAUAAGUCACGGUUUGAGGGAAAGUGGCAGAGAGAGCCAAGGGAGGCAAGUGUCCCUGCCACCGCUCAUGGGCUGUGUGAGCCCCAAGGCGUGCUGGGUCCAUUGCUGGGGCUUCUCUCAGCUUCUAGUUAACAUAUUUUAUCUUGGAUCAGCAGCUGGAGUUAGUAGCCGUUCUAGGAGCAGUGUGAGCUUCUCAGCGUCCAUCCCUUCUCUAACUUUCCAGGGCAUAGCAGAGGGAGGCCGGCUUUGUUCUUAGCUUUCAGAUGACCAUCUUCUGUAGGCCACCAGGAGUGACUCUGGUUUAACGGACUCCCCUGUGCUGUGCUGUCUUCGUGAGUGGGUCAGGCACGGUGGCUUGUGCCUUUAAUCUCAGCACUUGAGAGUCAGCGGCAGGUAGAUCUUCUAGAUGGCUGUGAGCCACCAUGUGGUUGCUGGGAAUUGAACUCGGGACCUCUAGAAGAGAAGACAGUGAGUAUCCUUAACCUCUGAGCCAUCUCUCCAGCCUCUAACACAAAAAUCUUAGAAGUCUUCCCUAGUCAUUUUCCCUUUACCCCCUGAGGAGAUUGCAUGUGUGUGUAUGUGUGUGUGCACAGAUAUUCACAUACCACAGCAUGCAUGCAGAAAUUAAAGGACCACGCUGCCCUGCAGCCAUAAUUAUGGGAUCCAAGGAUGAAACUCAUGCUGCCAUGCUUGUCCUCAGGUUACCCCUACCUGCUAAACCAUGUUGCUGGCCCAAUCACAGAUUUAUUAUUAUUAUUAUUGUUAUUGUUGUUAUUAUUAAUGUGUGUAUAUAUAAAAUGCAUGUACACAUGCAUAUUACAGUGCACGUGUACAGGGACAGAGGACAUCAUUGAGUCAAGUUCUCUCCUACCUUUUUCUGGGAUCUGGGGAUUGAAUUCGGGUUCUCAGGUUUGCAGGCAAACUCCAUCUUAAUGCCCUACCCUCACCUCCCGCAAGACACCUUGUCUGGCAUUGUAGCCCUUUGAGCUCAUUCUCCAGAUGUGAUAUGAUCCCAGUGACCUGUGAAAUCUCUACCACUGAGCUAGCUAUACAGCCAGCCCUGCUUCCCCAGCCCCUACCCCCUUUUUAGACAGUCUUAUGUAACCCUAGCUGGCCUCACUUACUGUGUAAGCAAGGGUGACCUUGAGCUUGUGAUUGUUUGGCCCCUACUUUCCAAGAGCUAGAAUUAUAGCAUGUGCCACCAUUGUUUAUGCAUUGUUAGAUCCUAGGGCUUUGUGCAUCCUGGGCACACUGCCAGCUGGGCUACAGCCUCGGCCUUCACCUUUUAUUAUGGGACAAGGCCUCACUAAGUUACCUUAGCCAGCCUUGACUUCACUUUCUAAGCUAGGCAGGCUUUGAACUUAUGAUCCUCCUGCUUCUGCCUCCCAGGUAGAUGGGAUAAACAGGCCAGUCUGGCUGACCUACACUGACUGGCGUAAAUACAAGUCAGUGAGUGUUGUUUGGGUUUUUUUUUGUUUGUUUUUGUUUUUGUUUUCUUUAGGGUUUUUUUGUUUGUUUGUUUCAUCCUUGUUAAAAGCAAUGUAGCUUGAGAUGUCACUUGUGUGAUUCAGUUACAGUCAAGUUCAGAAGAGCUUCCAAAGGUGUCAUAACUCCUAAACUUUUCUGUACCAAAGAAUUUAAAAAGUGUAAAUAAAUAAACAGGCUUCGAGGACCCCUCCAGGCCUUUCUGGUGUUUUCUUCUUCCCCUCAUCCCCACCCCGAAGGUGGCACUCUGCUUCAGCUGCUGUUUCUGCUACACUGACAGUGGGGGGGAGAGUACUCUGCCCCUGACAAGUGGUGGCUUCUAGUCAGAGGCUAUCUGAGAAGGCAGCUGGCUCCUGCCACUCAGGGAGGCCUGUCCUUCAGAGCGGAGCUCCGAGACUCCCUCGCUGCUCCCUCAGCCUUCUUCCUGUCCCUUCUGUGCC